AUUGUUCAACAUUGCUAUCUUUGCUGCCAGAACUUUCCUCCCCUUUAUGAUAGCAUGGAAACCCAUCCAUGGAGUGAGAUUGGAUCUCUGUCAUGUUCGCUUCUACAGUGCCAUUAAUAUUGGCAGCGUUAUCAUAUUCUUCCUUGUCAUCAAAUACAUAUUCAGCAUCCGUGAAUUCCAACAAAGUCUCAUCUGUUUCAGUAUAACAAGGAAGC
RNAcentral lists this unclassified non-coding RNA (215 nucleotides) under Hevea brasiliensis (rubber tree). The record is from RNAcentral. Lineage: Eukaryota; Viridiplantae; Streptophyta; Magnoliopsida; Malpighiales; Euphorbiaceae.